AAUAUGUCCAGAGUGUAAAUACUUUCAAAAGUGUGCAGUGCUUUAGGAGCCAAAGUCCCAAUGACUUUCAGCAGAACUUGGAUGCCUCAGUCACUUAGGUGGUUUUGAAAAUUUUACUGACAGUGGCUGGGAGAAGGCUGGUGCUGGGAAUGGCUUUAUGAAUUUCCAGCCUUUCAGACAAUGAGGCUGAGAUUUUAAAAGCUGUCUCAGAAAUCUGGACGCCUGGCAAAUUCCUGUUUGAAAAACACCUUUUUACUUGUUAAAACUUUAUUUGCCAUAUAUAACAAUUUAUAGGUAAUUUUCAAAAAACCCUUAACUUCAAGCGAACAGUUUUUAUUCAGGGAUAGUUAUCUGUGAUGAAUAGUCCCUUAAAUGUAUAUUCACUAAGUGUCCCAAUUAAGCAAAGUACUUAAGAAUCUGCUUAAUUUCUUUGCUGAACUAAGCCCUAAAAACUUGUGUUCUUAAGAAUACAGAAAUGGCCAGUGCAAAUCAGAUCAGGGCCCACCUACCCUGGGAUUCUGUCUCUGACCUGCACUACCAGCUGCUUCAAAUGAUGACGUGAGAAACCCCUAGUGGCAAGUGAUGGGGGACCUGUAACCCCCUGCCCACCUGUCACAGGAAGGAGGGGGGGUGCGGGAUAUAGAGCUAUCUCAUGGAGCCAGGAAGCCCUGAUCUCUGGUCCAGGUUUCUCUGUACAGUAUCCGAUGUGUGUAAAAUAUUACAUGUAACAACAGGGACAAGAGAAGUUGGGUCAGUUUCCCCACAAGCAGCCAGCCCCUGUGCUGUGCUCUGCUUAGCAUCUUAAGGAAAAAAACUCUCAAGAACAGUCAUAACACCAGUGAGGGGGAUAUUACUUGUAUCUUGACUAUUGCACAUUAACUUUUGUGACUCAGGAUUAAUUCACAUUGUCUUACUUUCCAGUGGAACAUGAGGCAAUGGCAGAACAAACACGUGACAUAACCCAAAGAUUCACAGCCAAACACCAGGCUGAGAUCAGUAAGUUCCAUUCCCCCCAUUAUCACCCUUGUGUGACAUUGUUUCCUGUUCAGAGUGUCGGUGUUCACGGGCGUUCUCACCCCUCUGUCUGUGUUUAGUUACAGGGUGGAGAAGCGCACAGCUCUACACAGGUACUGUACAAGUCGCUGAUAUUUUAUCCAUGGGGAGAUCCACCUCCCCGUGGGAGCUCCUGGCUCCUUUCCCUACACAGAGCAUUUUCCUAUGACAUUCGAUAGGCUACGAACAGCUGUCUGGGUGUAUUUGCACCCAGCAUGCUGCCUGACCAUACGUAUGUACUGGUGAAGGCUGGGAGAGUCUGGGCAGCUCCAGCAGGGAUUAGAGACCCCAAGGGACAUGCACACACAUUGCAGCACCACUGGCCACGGCUCCAUGUACUCUGGGGUAUCCUGCCGCACACAGCUUCGAGGGAGGGGGGCACUCAGGUCAGUUACACAAACAGUGUUGGGGUCCUGUUGUGGUUGCCCCCUCUGAGGUGUAAAAAAUGGGACAUCUGCUUGCUCCACCUACACCCCCUGUCUCCUCACCCCGGGCACUGUGUCCCAUCCCACCCUGGGAGAGGAGACCAGCCCUCUCAGGCUUCUGUUCCUGUCACUGCCCUGGGCACCAGCCUCACAAAGCAGGGCCUGGCACCAGAUCCACCCCGUUACCAUCCGGCAGUUAAACGUCACGGUUGGUACUUCCACCGUGGUGACUGGGCCCUACCAGCUCCGAGCGCCUCAUCUCCCGCUUGCUGGUCCCAAGACAGUCUGAAGCUAGCGCUCCCUUUGAGCAGUCACUGCCACCCCACAGCUUCCCCCACUACAGCCACUGACAAACCCAGGACUUUUAACAUCCUGCACAGACUCAGAUUUCGCAGGACAGCGACCUGAACAAUGGGCUGAUCCUGUGAAAACCUGGACAGGUGGCAACCCUAGCUCCUGUCCACACAAGCCAGUAACACCCAGCUGAGCCGGUUACAGGCCCUGGCAGGGACGCUGAGCUACCAGCUGCUGUGAUCACUAAGAUUGUUAACUCCUCCGUGUGCCACACACCGUGCUUAGAACCGCCAGGGCCCUGGACCCAGCGCCAGAACAGCUGUAACCUAGACUCAUAGCAAUGCAGGGUUGGAAGGGACUUUGUGAGGUCACCUAAUCCAGCUCCCUGCACUGGGGCAGGGCCUAGACCAUCCCUGACAGGGGUUUGUCCAACCUGCUCUUACAAACCGCCAGUGCCAGGGAUCCCACAGGCUCCCUUGGAGCCGGUCCAGAGCUUCACCGCCCUGAGAGUGAGAAAAUGUUUCCUAAUCUCCAGCCUCAGUCUCCCUUGUUGAAGAUUCAGAGGGGCAGCCGUGUCAGUCUGUAUCCACAAAAACAACGAGGAGUUCGAUGGCACCUUAAAGACCAACCGAUUUAUUAGGGCAUAAGCUUUUGUGGGGAAAAAAAUCCACUUCUUCGUACUCCGUGCAGCUGAAGAAAUGGGAUUUUUUACCCACGGAAGUUGAUGCCAUAAUAAAUCUGUUGGUCUUUAAGGUGCCACCGAACUCCUUGUUGUUUUUCCUGAAGAUUGUGCCCCUUGGACAGGCCCUCACCCUGCCCGCUGGGGGCGCUCAGGGUGUUGCCAAGUGUGAGUAUUGUUGUUACCGCAUUGCGGGGGGAAGCUGGAUGGGCUGGUUUGGCAGGGGCCAGUGAUGGGAGCUUUCACUUUCCUGUCACCGAUCUCAGCCCAGCCCGAGGCCAGUUCUUAGUGGACAGGAGCUCACAUCAUAACUCACAUUAAUGGCAACCACAGGGAGACCAAGACCUGCAUGGGCCGCAGGGAGAGAGGUUCCAGCAGGGGUCAGAGCUGAGCCAUGUCAGCAGCACCGUGCGGGGCUCACACAGCCGCUGGGAUGUCCUCAGACCCCACUCAGUGCAUGGAGCUCCAGCUGCCAGGGUGUAAGUGCCACUUCUCGAGCCUACAUGUGGGGGGGGCCCUGCCCAGAUUGGCCUGCUGCAGGGAGAAGGGGGAGUUCCCUUCUCCCGCUGUGCCUGGCCCCAGCCCUGGCAGUGGGGAGCAGGA
Molecule: long non-coding RNA, 3054 nt
Organism: Mauremys mutica (yellowpond turtle)
Lineage: Eukaryota; Metazoa; Chordata; Testudines; Geoemydidae
Exons: 4
Source: RefSeq, a predicted model, not a curated record